CAACUUUGGAACCAGAAACUCAAUCACCAAGAUUCUCAGUCUCCUAACCCGGCUCCUGUCUGCUUGAAUCCUUUCAUUCUUUUUCUCUACGGAUGUGUUUUCUCUACUAUCUGACCCACGUGCAAGAUUAAAUUUAAGAGGCCAUUUAAAGAAGCACAGCAUUUGUCUACUGAACACUAAAGUAUCACUCAGGAAGAUAUUAAAAUUUUUCACUCUUGGAACAUUCCUUGGAUCUCUGCUGCUGUGCUGUGAGAAAAACAAGCUACAAGUAUAGGACACAUGUUGAAGCUCCAAUUGAUAGCUGCAAUUGAGCUCCUUGCCAAUGACCAACAUCCUACGUCAACCAUGUGAAGUGGUCCUCUUCACUGUCCCAGCAUAACUGAGCACACAGGUGAUCAAGGCAGAGCCAAUUCCACAGGAAGUAAGAGAGCAUUGGUGUUAGCCCAUUCAACACCAAGACUAGUGAGAAAUUGCUGUUGUUUUAAGCCACUAAAUCUUGGAGGGGUUUGUUAAGAAAGUAACUGAAAAAGUGUCUUCCGUGAAUAAGGGUCAAGGAACCAUAGGAAUAGAUGAGUGUAGGGGGCCCUGCCCCCCCGCUGGAACUCUUGAGUGCCUUCUACGGACAUGCCCGGGCUUGCUGCAAAUCUACCCGGCAACAAGGAAGUAGCCCCAGUACACUCCUCUUGCUCCUCCCCUCUCGCCCUACGGUAUAUAUGUUGUAACAGCUUCCGCAAUAAACGAGACUUGAUCAGAAA
This 755-nucleotide long non-coding RNA is filed under the name Heterocephalus glaber (naked mole-rat). RNAcentral's name for it is "lncRNA (ENSHGLG00100033497.1)". The record is from RNAcentral. Lineage: Eukaryota; Metazoa; Chordata; Mammalia; Rodentia; Bathyergidae.